Molecule: ribosomal RNA, 388 nt
Filed under: uncultured bacterium
Lineage: Bacteria
Description: bacterial SSU rRNA
Rfam family: Bacterial small subunit ribosomal RNA
Source: RNAcentral
GACGAACGCUGGCGGCGUGCUUAACACAUGCAAGUCGAGCGGUAAGGCCCUUUCGGGGGUACACGAGCGGCGAACGGGUGAGUAACACAUGGGUGACCUGCCCUCAGCUCUGGGAUAAGCCCGGGAAACUGGGUCUAAUACCGGAUAUGACUCCAUGACGCAUGUUGUGGGGUGGAAAGCCUUGUGCGGCUGAGGAUGGGCCCGCGGCCUAUCAGCUUGUUGGUGGGGUGAUGGCCUACCAAGGCGACGACGGGUAGCCGGCCUGAGAGGGCGACCGGCCACACUGGGACUGAGAUACGGCCCAGACUCCUACGGGAGGCAGCAGUGGGGAAUCUUGCGCAAUGGGCGAAAGCCUGACGCAGCGACGCCGCGUGAGGGAUGACGGCCU